This is a long non-coding RNA of Antechinus flavipes (yellow-footed antechinus), 645 nucleotides long. RefSeq lists it as uncharacterized. Lineage: Eukaryota; Metazoa; Chordata; Mammalia; Dasyuromorphia; Dasyuridae. The transcript is spliced from 3 exons. The record is from RefSeq and is a predicted model, not a curated record.
CUUUCUGGGAAUACUGCACUUGGGACCUAGAAGAGAUUCUAGCAUUUGGCAGUGCAGUACAUGAGAUGAACUGGGGAAAAGCUGUCUCAUGCAAGGUACAAGGGAACUGGGAGCGAGUCAAGAUGUAAUCCAGAUAAUAAACUUCUACUAAUGAACAAGGUGGUUCUGGUGCUCUGUUGAGUAUUGCUGGUCGUGACUGGAGACGUCUGAAAACCUGGGAGAGAUGCCAAGGGUGGAAGGCCAGGGAAAGUUGAACAAGAAUGUUGGGUUCCUGGCCGAUAUAUUUGCAUCCUCAAAGAAGAAAAGGAAGAGGAGGAGACAGAGGACCUGCUGCAAGAGACGAACCAUCCAACUAAAUAAAUCUAUACACUUAUUACGGGAGACCUUAGCAACUUUAUCCCUUGCCACAUGCUGUAGCAUGGAAACCACUGGUCAACAGUCACCAAGAAGAGAUGGAUAAACAAGGACUUGUUUAUCCUUGGACUUGGGCAAGAGUGACAUGUCUACCCACCAUACAUAUGGUGGGAUGGGAAGAGGCUACCCCACAGUUUCCUGCUUCAGGAAAUGUAACUAAGUUAGUGGGGGAAGCUUGGACAAUAAAAAGAUUGACUUGGCUAACAUGACAUUUGUCACUUUACUCUUACU